Molecule: long non-coding RNA, 723 nt
Filed under: Mytilus galloprovincialis (Mediterranean mussel)
Lineage: Eukaryota; Metazoa; Mollusca; Bivalvia; Mytilida; Mytilidae
Source: RNAcentral
UGUUGCCUGCUUUACUUUCUUGUAUUUAUUAAAUUCCAUGGGCCAUAGUAUUUGUUGAAAAGUAUUUUUUUCUGAACAAAUUUCAAGUCUUCUUAAACUAAUUAUCUAUUGCAUAAAUAUCAGCUUCAUAGACCCCAUAAAGAUCAUUUUACCUCCCAUGUUCUACUCAUAGUAAAACCAUACCCUGUUAGUCUCAGCACAACCAAUUUUAUAUUUAAUCUAGAUAGUUUCAUUAUGAUUUAUUCCAUGUGUAGUCAAGGGUUUCAAUAUAAUGAAAUUUGAUGCCACUGUCGUUCAAGUGAGAUGGGUGUAGCGACAUAAAAAUAGGUUCAAUCCACCAUUUUCUACAUUUUUUUUACCUGUACCAAGUCAGGAAUAUGACAGUUGUUGUCCAUUAGUUUUUAUGUGUUUAUCACUUGAUUUUGCCAUUUAACUUUUCCACCUAGGAGUUCAAUAUUUUUGUGAUUUUACUUUUUUCAAGAAAUAAAGGUCAAAACAACAAAGAAAAAAAGUGUGGAAAACUGAUUUGCCGCAGUGACUGAUGUACAGACAGACAGACAGACAUAAGAAGUGCAAUCCUGAAGCUAACCCCUUCAAUGUCGUUGGUAGGGGACUAAUAACUAAAACUUCUGAAUAACCAUUCAAAGGUUGCUUCUAACUAGAUUAUGUUGCCUUCAAAAUAAAGGGUAAGCUGUAAUAGUAACAAAGCAAAGGUAAAUAAAA